GCAGCGGUGGUCUAGUGGUCAAGACGCCUCAGCUUUACCUUCUUGCAAACACAAGAGGCCAACGGACUCCACGUGCUUCGGCAUUGUAUUCUGAGCGCCAGCGGUUGAGGAGAUCGCAGGUCCGAAUCCUGCUCGCUGCA
Molecule: transfer RNA, 140 nt
Filed under: Aureobasidium melanogenum CBS 110374
Lineage: Eukaryota; Fungi; Ascomycota; Dothideomycetes; Dothideales; Saccotheciaceae
Rfam family: tRNA
About the family: Transfer RNA (tRNA) molecules are approximately 80 nucleotides in length.
Source: Rfam by way of RNAcentral